Long non-coding RNA from Triticum dicoccoides, 1830 nucleotides. RefSeq lists it as uncharacterized. NCBI's taxonomy places the organism in Eukaryota, Viridiplantae, Streptophyta, Magnoliopsida, Poales, Poaceae. The transcript has 2 exons. The record is from RefSeq and is a predicted model, not a curated record.
CCGCCUCUCUACAAGUCGCCGCCGCGCUACCCCUCCCCCAGGCCACUGCCGUGCCGCCUCUCUACAAGUCGCUACCGCGCCACCCCUCCUGAGGCCCCCACCAACAAGUCCUCGCAUGCCUCCCACAGCUCCCCCUGCCAGCUCCGCCCGACCCAGUGCUGCUCGGCCGCUCUCCGCCAUCCGCGGCGAGCCCUGGCAACCGGAUCCGGAGACCCUUCCAGCGGGGCCGCCGGCCAUGCCGCGCCACCGCCAGAGCCCUAGCCCCGCCCGACGGCGUGGGUGGGUGCUGCACAGGGCGGUGGCCGCGAGGCAAGGCUGUCCACCAUCCUACCCUCUGCCUCAGACACGACGGUGGCCUCUCGCCGGUGCCUCGUCUCCUCCCAUGGCCAUCUGACAUUCUGCAGCGCUGCUCUGCAGUUUAGCUGCUGGUGGCAAGAGGUUUCAUUUGCCCCGGAACACGGUCCAGUAGCUCGUCUUGUGCAGUUCCGUGGAGAUGAACUCCACCACGACGGCGGCCGUGCCUCACCUCGCCAGCUCCAGGACGCUCUCUGCUCCAUCUUGUGUGCUUAACUGAUGAGUUCCUGCGGCCAGCAACAGCGUCACCGACACCAGCCGGAGGCCUUUCGUCACUGCCGUGGUCGCCGGCGAGCUCUCCGAGGCAUGGUCGUGCGCCUGCGGCCAAGCGCGAGACAUGGAGGCGGUAGUCUUGAUUCUGAAGGUGUUCAGAGGCUACCUAGCACGAGUUCCCUCUCCAUGCUUCUCCCAAACAAAGAUCAAACUGAAUUUUGCGAUAAACAUGCUGCUGCACAUACGUACAGAAAAAGGCUUUAGAAGCAUUCACUGUUUUUUGGUUUAACAUAUCAAAAGAGUUGGCAAUUCAGUAUUACUUGUUUGAGGUUCAUUAUUUAUUUUGCCUCACUGAGAUGUUCGCUUUUAUAGUUUUAUUAUUCGGUGCAGGUCACUAAAAGAAAAGUAUUAGUGGUGGUCGCGGCGGCUCCAUGGCCCCAUGCGAUUCAGUUGCCGCUGGAAUUUCCUGUAUAGUUUGCUUAUUUUUGCUUCACCGCCAGCAAACAGUUAAAAAGAUUAGUGCACUGCAUGCUGUUGUUGUUUGUUCUUUUAGUCCAAUUUCAUUAUUUUUGCAGAGUGAAAGACUACCAGCAAAAAGAAAGAGGAAACGAGUGCAGUGCACACCCGUUUUCUGGCAAAAAGGCAAUGCAGUGCGCUGCGGCAAGAAGCUUACUUUUUGCGUUUUCAGAAUUUGGACCUACAAUUUGAUUGCAUUUCAAUGCAGUGCGGUUCCAGUUUGGGUGCCUCCAGGCUCCAGCUCGUGAAAGAUGUCAAUUUUCCAACGAGCAUGUGGUGUGCGGGUGAGCGUGGCGUGCAGUUCAGUGGUGCGCGACUUGCGGCUCUUUUUUUUUUUCUUGUAGUGAGUUUCUGUAGUUUGGUCACCCUAUCCAGCGAACCUAGUGUAGCUCUCAUGCUCAUCCUCCUUGCGCUCGCUAGCGUCAGAAGUUCAGUGGCAGCGGAAGCCCACAAGACAUGGUGACCAUAGUGCAGUACACCGUCGCCCACAAAAAGACAUGGUGACCAUACUGUUGGACACCAUCAUCGACAUUUGCCGUUUUGCAGCUCGCUCAUUUAUAGUUUGUUUCUAGGAAUCAAUUGCAGUGCACUCAGUAAAGAAAAGAAACAGAACGUCGUUGUUCAUUUGAAGUUCAUUUUGUUGUUUAUGAGAAACUCGGAGAGAAAAAGGGUACUGCCUAGUGCAUUUGAAGUUCAUUUUGUAGUAAGAAAAAUGGAUGGUAAUUUGCAUAAGCAAGUCUUUGCCUA